Non-coding RNA from Chlorocebus sabaeus (green monkey), 2824 nucleotides. NCBI's taxonomy places the organism in Eukaryota, Metazoa, Chordata, Mammalia, Primates, Cercopithecidae. The record is from RefSeq and is a predicted model, not a curated record.
AUUAAGCUAGGUUACAGUUCAUCCACAAGGACUCAAAUAUAGAAGUAUGGAGUCCCUCUCAGGCCAUAUUUAGUUUGCUUUAACACCAUAUACCAGCAUGUAGGUUGAACUACACAGCCCAAUAUGAAACCUGCUGACAGAAGUAUGUAGCAAUAUGGACGUAAAGCCAAAAGACCCUCUCCAACAUACUUUAUAGUCACACCCUCUGUCAAGGAGGAGAAAGGGAAAGAAGAAAAAAAAAACCAAUAAUAUACAGAUUUAAAGGUGGGGGGGGAAUUUUACCUAUAGGAAAAUAAUUACAAAAAUUAGAAAUGCCAGUUAUCUCCAAAGGAGAAAGAACCCACACAAGAAUUCUGGCACCAUGAAAAAUGUGAAUGCUGUGACACCACCAGAAGAUCACACUAGUUCUCCAAUAAUGGCCCCCAACUAAAAUGGAAACUCAGAAAUGUCAGCUAAAGAAUUCAACCCAUGGAUUCCAAGAAAACUCAAAGAUGUUCAAGAUGAGAUUGAAAAUCAACAAAAAGAAACUACUAACACGAUCCAGGAAAAGAAGGAAGAGAUAAGCACCUUCAAAAGAAAUCAAUCAGAGCUUCUGCAAUUGAAAACCUUACUUAAAGAAUAUCAAAAUACAAUUGAAAAAUUUAUCAAUAGACUAGACUAGACCAAGCAGAAGAAAGAAUUUCAAAGCUUGAAGACCGGCCCUUUGAGCUAACCCAGUGGUGUGGGGGUGGGGGAAAAUAAAUAAGUAAUUUUUAAAAAUGAACAAACUAGGAUAUUUUGUCUCAUACUUACAGUGGACGACCUUGAUUUUCCACUUCUCUUCAGGAAUGAGUCAUAUGGUGGUAGAAAAUGCCCUCGACCUGGAGGAGCAGUUUGCUCAUCUGGACCUGAACUCCUCUGAUAAACAGAGUGGAGGAGGAAGUACAGCAAGCCAAGAGUGCUAUAUACCUCCUCACUCAAGGAACAAGGAAGCAUCUAAAGGAUUCUAUGAUAAAGACAGUUCAGGUUGGAGUUGUAGCAAAGAUAAGGAUGCAUAUAGCAGUUUUGGGUCUCGAGAUUCAAGAGGAAAGCCUGGUUAUUUCAGUGAUUAUGGAAGUGGAUCAAGGGGAAGAUUUGAUGAUCCUGGAUGGAGUGACUAUGAUGGUAUUGGCAGUCAUGGUGACAGAACUGGCUUUGGCAAAUUUGAACGGAGUGGACACAGUCAUUGGUGUGACAAGUCAGAUAAAGAUUAUUGGUCAAAACCACUUCCACCAAGUGAAUGCUUGGAGUAGGUACUCUUUUCUGGAGGAAACACUGGGAUUAACUUUGAGAAAUGUGAUGACAUACCAAUAGAGGCAACCAGCAGUAACUGUCUUCCACAUAUUGAAAAUGUCAGCAAUGUUGACGUGGGAGAAAUUAUCAUGGGGAACAUUGAGCUUCUUACUCACUAUACUCAUCCUACUCCACUGCAAAAACAUGCCAUUCCUAUUAUUAGGGGAAAAAGAGACUUAAUGGCUUGUGCCCAAGCAGGGUCUGGGAAAACUGCAGCAUUUCUUUUACCUGUACUGAGUCAGAUAUAUAGAGAUGGUCCAGGAAAAGCUUUGAAGGCUGUAAAGGAAAAUGGAAGGUAUGGGUGCCAUGAACAAUACCCAAUCUCCUGGGUUUUAGCCCCAACAAAAGAACUGGCUGUACAGAUAUGAGGAAGCCAGAAAAUUUUCAUACCAGUAUAGAGUUCAUCCUUGUGUAGUUUAUGGUGAUGCUGAUAUUGGUCAACAAAUUCAGGUCUUGGAACAUAGAUGCCACUUGUUAGUAGCCACGCCAGGACGUCUAGUGGAUUUGAUGGAAAGAGGAAAGAUUGGAUUAGACUUCUGCAAAUACUUAGUGUUGGAUGAAGUUGAUAGGAUGUUGGAUACAGGAUCUGGACCUCAGAUACAUUGUAUACUGAACAAGAUACUAUGCCACCAAAGGGCAUUCAUCACAUCAUGAUGUUUAGUGCCACUUUUCCUAAGGAAAUACGAUGCUUGCUCGUGACUUUUUGGAUGAAUAUAUAUUUUUGGCUGUAGGCAGAGUAGGCUCUACCUCUGAAGUAGUUUGGGUGGAAGUAGUUUGGGUGGAAGAGCCAGAUAAACGGUCAUUUCUGCUUGAUCUCUUAAAUGCACCAGGGAAGGAUUCACUGACUUUAGAGUUUGUGGAGACAAAAAAGGGAGCAGAUUCUCUGGAGAAUUUCUUAUACCAUGAAAUAUAUCCUUGUACUAGUAUUCAUGGAGACCAAUCACAGAGAGAUCAAGAUGGAGGCCCUUCACCAGUUUUCCUUCAGGAAAAGUCCAAUUCUAGUGGCUACAGCUGUGGCAGCAUGAAAACUAGACAUUUCAAAUGUGAAACAUGCUUCAAUUUUGAUUUGCCAAGUGAUAUUGAAGAAUAUGUGCCUUGUAUUGGCUGUACAGGAUGUGUGGGAAACCAGGGCCUUGCCAUCUCAUCCUUUAAUGAAAGAAAUACGAAUAUUACAAAGGAUUUGCUGGAUAUUCUUGUAGAAUUUAAACAAGAAGUGCCUGCUUGAUUGGAAAACAUAGCUUAUAAACACCACUACAAGGGUGGUAUUCGUGCAUGAUCUAAAAGAUUCAGUGGAGCAUUUGGUGCCAGAGACUAUUGACAAUGUAGUGGUUCCAGCAGUUCUGGCUUUAGUAGUAGUCAUACAAGCAGCAGCUGCAGUGGUGUAGGUGGUCAUGACAUCAGCAGCAGAUGUGGUAGAGGUGGCUAUGGAGGCUUCUACAACAGUGAUGGAUGUGUAGGAAAUUAUAACUCUUGUUAUAAGAGUUACUAAGAGCCAGGCGUGGUGGCUCACACC